This 62-nucleotide non-coding RNA is filed under the name Micromonas pusilla. Lineage: Eukaryota; Viridiplantae; Chlorophyta; Mamiellophyceae; Mamiellales; Mamiellaceae. The record is from RNAcentral.
GCGGCGACGGAAGACGGGGAGGCGGAGCGCGAGGCGGCGGCGGCGGCGACCGGGGACGUGAA